Molecule: ribosomal RNA, 693 nt
Filed under: uncultured bacterium
Lineage: Bacteria
Description: bacterial SSU rRNA
Rfam family: Bacterial small subunit ribosomal RNA
Source: RNAcentral
AACGCUAGCUACAGGCUUAACACAUGCAAGUCGAGGGGCAGCAUGAACUUAGCUUGCUAAGUUUGAUGGCGACCGGCGCACGGGUGAGUAACACGUAUCCAACCUGCCGAUGACUCGGGGAUAGCCUUUCGAAAGAAAGAUUAAUACCCGAUGGCAUAAUUCUUCCGCAUGGUAGAAUUAUUAAAGAAUUUCGGUCAUCGAUGGGGAUGCGUUCCAUUAGGUUGUUGGCGGGGUAACGGCCCACCAAGCCUUCGAUGGAUAGGGGUUCUGAGAGGAAGGUCCCCCACAUUGGAACUGAGACACGGUCCAAACUCCUACGGGAGGCAGCAGUGAGGAAUAUUGGUCAAUGGACGAGAGUCUGAACCAGCCAAGUAGCGUGCAGGAUGACGGCCCUAUGGGUUGUAAACUGCUUUUAUAAGGGAAUAAAGUGAGCCUCGUGAGGCUUUUUGCAUGUACCUUAUGAAUAAGGACCGGCUAAUUCCGUGCCAGCAGCCGCGGUAAUACGGAAGGUCCGGGCGUUAUCCGGAUUUAUUGGGUUUAAAGGGAGCGUAGGCCGGAGAUUAAGCGUGUUGUGAAAUGUAGGCGCUCAACGUCUGCACUGCAGCGCGAACUGGUUUCCUUGAGUACGCACAAAGUGGGCGGAAUUCGUGGUGUAGCGGUGAAAUGCUUAGAUAUCACGAAGAACUCCGAUUG